GACCACGCUAACGCAAUAACGUAGACCCGCCUUGGGUGAAGUUACGUCCGCAAGGUUCAGAACCUCAAAUGAAUUUGACCGGGUGGCCCCGGCACAACNCGCUUGGAGCCAUGUGGUUUAAUUCCGAUGCAACGCGAAGAACCUUACCUGGUCUUGACAAUCUAGAAUCCUGCAGAGAUCCGGGAGUGCCUUCGGGAAUUAGAAUACAGGUGCUGCAUGGCUGUCGUCAGCUCGUGUCGUGAGAUGCUUGGGUUAAGUCCCGCAACGAGCGCAACCCUUGUCCUUAGUUACCAGCGGGUUAAGCCGGGAACUCUAAGGAUACUGCCAGUGACAAACUGGAGGAAGGCGGGGACGACGUCAAGUCAUCAUGGCCCUUACGACCAGGGCUACACACGUGCUACAAUGGUAGGUACAGAGGGCAGCUACACAGCGAUGUGAUGCGAAUCUCAAAAAGCCUAUCGUAGUCCAGAUUGGAGUCNAAAACUCGACUCCCUGAAGUAGGAAUCGCUAGUAAUCGCGGAUCAGAAUGCCGCGGUGAAUACGUUCCCGGGCCUUGUACACACCGCCCGUCACACCAUGGGAGUUGAUUGCACCAGAAGUGGAUAGCCUAACCUUUUAGGAAGGCGUUCACCACGGUGUGGUUCUCAUGGAUGCAAUGUAACAAGUAGCCGUAGGGGAACUCGCGGCUGGAU
Molecule: ribosomal RNA, 692 nt
Filed under: uncultured bacterium
Lineage: Bacteria
Description: bacterial SSU rRNA
Rfam family: Bacterial small subunit ribosomal RNA
Source: RNAcentral